This 253-nucleotide ribosomal RNA is filed under the name uncultured bacterium. RNAcentral's name for it is "partial 16S ribosomal RNA". It matches the Rfam family "Bacterial small subunit ribosomal RNA", at positions 524 to 776 of the family's 1533-position model. The record is from RNAcentral.
UACGUAGGGGGCAAGCGUUGUCCGGAUUUAUUGGGCGUAAAGAGCGUGUAGGCGGCCUGACAGGUCUGCUGUGAAAACUAGAGGCUUAACCUCUAGACGUCGACCGAAACCAUCUGGCUAGAGUCCGGAAGAGGAGAGUGGAAUUCCUGGUGUAGCGGUGAAAUGCGCAGAUAUCAGGAAGAACACCCGUGGCGAAAGCGGCUCUCUGGGACGGUACUGACGCUGAGACGCGAAAGCGUGGGGAGCGAACAGG